AAUGUAUCUGCAGAGGAGAAAAAGGAGAGUGCAAACAGCCAGAUGAGAGAAAGAAGAGACACCUGCAUAAUCAGAGAGAUCAUUUAACCAACCGUCUUCCAAAGGAUUCAUGGGAAACAGCAUCCUAACAAAAAACCCAUACAAUGGCCUACACCUCAAAAAUAAGUUCCUGAGCAUCACCAAUAGAAGGCUGCUAUAAAUAAAUAAAGCAGGCUGGAUGACGUGUCUGGAACAGAAGAGUUGCUUACUCAACCAGCCCCUCAACCCUUAAAAAUACCUCCCUGGUUUGGAAUAUGAACUGAAGGGGAGUCUCCAGGAUUACAAACAGAUGCUCAUCAAAGGCAAGCAAAGUCUGCAUCCAGUCUGCUCCGAAGAGAUGGAGACUCCUGAAUAUGCCAAAAGGGAAUGUUGUGUCAUUUGUGAGCUUGUAAAAAAUGCAACAUUUCUAUUAAAUCAAGUCUGGCUUCAUUUUCACUCCCAGUGGAAUCAAGAGAGGUUGUACCAGGUAAGAGAUUCAACGAGUUACUAUGUCAUUAUUGAACACUAGGAGUGAAUAAAUAUAAGCUUUUGAAACACUUGCCUCUCAUGUGGUAGAACGAGCUGCAAAUUAAGUCUUCCCCCAUCUCUUCACCAUUUACACUUGUAUACCUUUACAAUUGAGGGAUCAUCCA
Long non-coding RNA from Podarcis raffonei (Aeolian wall lizard), 671 nucleotides. RefSeq lists it as uncharacterized. The record is from RefSeq and is a predicted model, not a curated record. The transcript has 3 exons. NCBI's taxonomy places the organism in Eukaryota, Metazoa, Chordata, Lepidosauria, Squamata, Lacertidae.